RNAcentral lists this ribosomal RNA (115 nucleotides) under Pteropus alecto (black flying fox). Lineage: Eukaryota; Metazoa; Chordata; Mammalia; Chiroptera; Pteropodidae. The record is from RNAcentral.
GUCUAUAGCCAUGCCACCCUGGAUAAGCCUGAUGUCUGAUCUCAAAAGCUAAGCAGAGUUGGCCUGGUUAGUACUUGGAUGGGAGACCACCUAGGAAGAACAGGUGCUGUAGGCA